RNAcentral lists this transfer RNA (93 nucleotides) under Pseudomonadota bacterium. RNAcentral describes it as "tRNA-Ser". It matches the Rfam family "tRNA". Rfam says of the family: Transfer RNA (tRNA) molecules are approximately 80 nucleotides in length. Their secondary structure includes four short double-helical elements and three loops (D, anti-codon, and T loops). The record is from RNAcentral. Lineage: Bacteria; Pseudomonadati; Pseudomonadota. RNAcentral also lists the same sequence under 2 other names.
GGAGGGGUGGCCGAGUGGUUGAAGGCGACGGUCUUGAAAAUCGUUUCUCCCGUAGCCCGGGAGACGUGAGUUCGAAUCUCACCCCCUCCGCCA